This 1481-nucleotide ribosomal RNA is filed under the name metagenome. RNAcentral describes it as "bacterial SSU rRNA". It matches the Rfam family "Bacterial small subunit ribosomal RNA". The record is from RNAcentral.
AGAGUUUGAUCCUGGCUCAGGAUGAACGCUAGCGGCAGGCCUAAUACAUGCAAGUCGAGGGGCAGCGGGAGUAGCAAUACUUGCCGGCGACCGGCGCACGGGUGCGUAACGCGUAUGCAAUCUACCUUCAACUGGAGAAUAGCCCCUCGAAAGAGGGAUUAAUACUCCAUAAUAUUCGAUUCCGGCAUCGGAAUCCAAUUAAAGCUCCGGCGGUUGAAGAUGAGCAUGCGUGACAUUAGCUAGUUGGUGAGGUAAUGGCUCACCAAGGCUACGAUGUCUAGGGGUUCUGAGAGGAUGAUCCCCCACACUGGUACUGAGACACGGACCAGACUCCUACGGGAGGCAGCAGUAAGGAAUAUUGGUCAAUGGACGCAAGUCUGAACCAGCCAUGCCGCGUGCAGGAUGAAGGCGCUAUGCGUUGUAAACUGCUUUUGUACGGGAAAAAACCCCUCCACGUGUGGAGGGUUGAUGGUACCGUAAGAAUAAGGAUCGGCUAACUCCGUGCCAGCAGCCGCGGUAAUACGGAGGAUCCAAGCGUUAUCCGGAUUCAUUGGGUUUAAAGGGUGCGUAGGCGGAAUGGUAAGUCAGUGGUGAAAGCCUGCAGCUCAACUGUAGAAUUGCCAUUGAUACUGCCAAUCUUGAGUAUAAUUGAAGUGGGCGGAAUGUGUCGUGUAGCGGUGAAAUGCUUAGAUAUGACACAGAACACCGAUUGCGAAGGCAGCUCACAAAACUAUAACUGACGCUGAGGCACGAAAGCGUGGGGAUCAAACAGGAUUAGAUACCCUGGUAGUCCACGCCGUAAACGAUGAUUACUCGAUGUGUGCGAUAUACAGUACGCGUCUAAGCGAAAGCAUUAAGUAAUCCACCUGGGGAGUACGAUCGCAAGAUUGAAACUCAAAGGAAUUGACGGGGGCCCGCACAAGCGAAGGAGCAUGUGGUUUAAUUCGAUGAUACGCGAGGAACCUUACCUGGGCUUGAAUGCUUUUUGACAACACCGGAAACGGUGUCUCUCUUCGAAGCAAAUUGCAAGGUGCUGCAUGGCUGUCGUCAGCUCGUGCCGUGAGGUGUUGGGUUAAGUCCCGCAACGAGCGCAACCCCUAUCAUUAGUUGCCAACAGGUAAAGCUGGGGACUCUAGUGAAACUGCCCGUGCAAACGGUGAGGAAGGUGGGGAUGACGUCAGGUCAGCACGGCCCUUACGUCCAGGGCUACACACGUGCUACAAUGGCAAUACAAAGGGUUGCUACCUGGUGACAGGAUGCUAAUCUCUAAAAUUGGUCUCAGUUCGGAUUGAAGUCUGCAACUCGACUUCAUGAAGCUGGAUUCGCUAGUAAUCGCAUAUCAGCAACGAUGCGGUGAAUACGUUCCCGGGCCUUGUACACACCGCCCGUCAAACAAUGGAAGUUGGGAGUGCCUGAAGUCGAUGACCGAAAGGAGUCGCCUAGGGUAAAACCGAUAACUGGUGUUAAGUCGGAACAAGGUA